RNAcentral lists this long non-coding RNA (354 nucleotides) under Brassica napus (rape). Its description in RNAcentral is "long non-coding RNA (BNAP_LNC000967)". The record is from RNAcentral. Lineage: Eukaryota; Viridiplantae; Streptophyta; Magnoliopsida; Brassicales; Brassicaceae.
UUCUUCCUCGCACAAUCCCCACAUGUCCGACAGGUAAAUCUAAACUUCUUCAUCUCUCAAGGGCUCUGUUCUUCAACCUAUGUUAAGUCUUUCAAUCCCCUGUUGAGAAAAAAGAUUGACUCUUUUGAUUGAUAACUUGAGCUUCUUGGUUCCUUUCUGGAGAACAAAGUUACCUUUUGAUUGAUUACUUGAGCUGCUACGGUUUCUGGAGGAUAAAGUUUGACUCUUUUGAUUGAUUAGUGGAGCUUCUUGGUUUCUUGAUGACAAAGUUUGACUCUUUUUGAUUGAUUACUUGAGCUUCUUGGUUUCUGGAGAACAAAGUUUGACUCUUUUGAUUGAUCAUUGGAGCUUCUU